GCCCUGGUGGUGCAAAGGGUUAAGCACUUGGCUGCUAACCAAAAGGUUGGUGGUUGGAACCCACCCAGCGGCU
This 73-nucleotide transfer RNA is filed under the name Loxodonta africana (African savanna elephant). It matches the Rfam family "tRNA". From Rfam's summary of the family: Transfer RNA (tRNA) molecules are approximately 80 nucleotides in length. Their secondary structure includes four short double-helical elements and three loops (D, anti-codon, and T loops). Lineage: Eukaryota; Metazoa; Chordata; Mammalia; Proboscidea; Elephantidae. The record is from Rfam by way of RNAcentral.